CAAUAGCGUAUCUUAAUGUUGUUGCAGUUAAAAAGCUCGUAGUCGAAUUUCUGGCCGGGACUUGCCGACUUUACCGUGCGUAGUCCUAGGUCAUCCGCCUAUGAUGAUGUAAGGAGAUUAAUUUCUACUGCAUUGGAGUAGGCACUUUACUUUGAAGAAAUUAGAGUGUUUCAGGCAGGCAAUCGCUUGAAUACACCAGCAUGGAAUAAUGGAAAAGGACUGUUUCUUAUUUUUGGUGAAUUUGAAAUAGUAAUGAUUAAUAGGGAUAGUUGGGGGUAUUCGUAUUCAAUUGUCAGAGGUGAAAUUCUUGGAUUUAUGGAAGACGAACUACUGCGAAAGCAUUUACCAAGGAUGUUUUCAUUAAUCAAGAACGAAAGUUAGGGGAUCGAAGAUGAUCAGAUACCGU
Molecule: ribosomal RNA, 406 nt
Filed under: uncultured eukaryote
Lineage: Eukaryota
Description: bacterial SSU rRNA
Rfam family: Eukaryotic small subunit ribosomal RNA
Source: RNAcentral